UUUUUUUUUUUUUUUGGGGCCGGGGUCAAACUUUCCUACCACACGUACGUAAAUGCAUGGAAAAUUUGCAUGGAAUCGAAAACUUGCACGUACACUGGAAGUCACCAUAGCUGUUGAAUGACAUAUUUUUGGAACUUUAAAAGAAACGAAACCUUUUAAACGGAUUGCCAUUUUGAACGGUUUUAGCAGCAGCACUAACAAGAGACGAGACUCUAGAAUAUCUAAUUAUGAUAGCUAAAAGCGCUUGAUUACAAAAACUCCUUGUAGUCUCCGAUUAAGUAAAUUUUCGUUGAGAUUUUGAAAAUGCUUUUCCCAACUUGGUUUAUAGCUGAACGGUCGAUAAUUCAAAGUAAAACUUGUUUCUCCUCUGGCUGGUUUUGUUUGGAAAGUAAUUUUUCAAAAAAACAAUUACUACAUUUUCCGUGAACAUAUUUUUUUUAAUCACCUUUUUAUCUCACACAUAUCAAAUCGCUACAGUAAUAUUUUUACAAAAAAAAAUUCAAAAAUUGCAAUCCAAACAAACACCCUUUUUUUUUUUUUGAAAAAAAAAGGACGAAACAGCCACUAAUGCAUGUAUUUAAAAAAAGUUCAAAUUUCUGAUUCUGUAGCAGGGCAGGGCGGAAAUUUGGGGCUAACAUGUGUUAGUAAUUAAGUGGAAUGAUGUGACUUAUGUGAAGUUCACUUUAAGACAACCCUAAUCCCCGGGCGCAACAUCCAUUAUCAAAUACUAGACUACUACUACUAGUAGUGUAUUUAUCGACAUCACGCAUCUCCCAAAUCAUGUUAUCCCGAUGUGAUGUUUUCACUAUCUUCGUUUUGUAUUUAUUUAUUUAUUUUUGGCAAGAUCGUUAUCUUCUUUAUGAUAUCGGUUUACAAUAGACUAACAUAUGUUAGUCUUUGUGCAUUGCAAUUUUAUGUUCUUCCUUGAUAGAUCUAUCUUGCUCUGAACAAAAAAUUAAUAGAAGAAUGGUUUAUCGGAAGUUACUUCUGGAUUUGUAAGCUAAUGAAUGUUUGCGAAAUUGAUUAAUUGCUAAAUUCGUAAAAUUAACUCCAGACACUGCAAUGCUAAUCCUGUUCAAGAAAGUGCUUUAGACUUUAUCCCAAAAAUAAAGGGGAAGUGCUAUUAGGGGGUGUGCAUCCCAAUUCGUACAUUUUGAAACGGAAAACCGAUUUUCAUUCCAUUUUCUGAUUUGUCGAUUUCAAAAUUUUGAUUUUAAUUUGAAUUCGAUUGAUAAAUUGAAAAUUUUCGAUUUUGCACCACGCUCCUAAUCAUGAUUUGCAGACAUCCUGUUCCUUCUAAUCACGAUGUGACUUGUGUUCCCAUUUUGUGACUUAACGGGAAGUGCUACGGUCCAGACUUGUAAAAUCGAAACGGUCGUCUUCCUCUGGCAGACGCAAGUCGCAACUUGCAAGAAUAGGUCCAACCUUCGACGGUCCAGUUCUCCAAGUCCAAGAACAGCUCCGGUCGUCUUCCUCCAGUCACAAGAAGUAACAAUUUCUGUCAUUGGAAACUCUACAUUUAUUCUUGUUAAUCAAUUAUUUGUUCCAAGUGUAUACGGGAAAAUAAAGGGUUUAUGGGUUGGAAAAUUUUAUGAAAUGGGUGCGCCUUCAAUAAUAAAAUUUUCAAAAAGAUGAUGCAAAUUUUGCUCCACUCGAGCUUGAGCCUACCUUUUGCUUGGUCGAGCUGAGUUCGAUUCCAUUUUCUUUACUCGUCAAGAUUAAGUUCGAAUUCAAUCCUACACAUAAACAAGUCAAACUAGGAUCGAUAAGACUUGUUUGCGGUCCUACUUUCAAGAAAUUGGCGCAGCCGGUUUGCUGUCUUAGUUUUGUACUUUGUUUAGUCACUUUUGAGUUUCGACUUAAUGUUUCAUCGAGUUACCCACCCUACAAUCGUGCUUUGUCGGGCAACUGGGAAAGCCUGCGCUCUGUCGUUCGUCUAAAUUUCUUCAGUCUUAACUUGUCAUGAAGUUUUUUUCUUAAUUGAUAUUAUACCAAAUUUAAGCCCAACAUAGAAUUCAACUUGUGCUAAUAGUUUUGGGAGUUUUUUGUGCUACAAUUCUGCGAUGCAUUUAAAAUGUCGAGCCUCUCCCAAGAAAUUGAUGUUGUAGCAAUCCACCAGACAAAUUGUAUGUGGUGCGUAAUGAAUUUUGGAACGGAGAUAUAUUGAGAAAGAUGUGAAGAGAGAUAAGGUGGAGAUGCUUGUGAGAGAGCUCGUGGAUGGAGAGAGGGGACAAAAAAGAUGAGGAGUAAGGCUUUGGAUAUACUAUAUUAGAACUAUACAUUAUACAAUGCCAAAGCAGCUGUGGCACGCACUCCAUUGAUCUUCUUCCCAGAACUUUAACAAGCUUUUGAAGGAGAUGACUCUGCAUAAUUCAUCCCGAUGAUGAGGAGGCAAAGGUGGAAAUUCUUUAAUUUUGUUACAAAGUUUCGAGGAAACUGGGGUUUAUUAUAAUUGUUUACACCGGAAUAAAUACAGUAGUUAACUACCAGAAAAACUCCAUUGGUACCUCGAAUUUAGAACGAGUGUAACAGCUUCAUAGCACGAAUGUAGUGUAGAUAAAUCCGCAUUCCUUUUUUUCAAUAAAGAAAACAAUCCAGUGCAAGACAAUAAAGAUAUAUAUGUGGUAAGAAUCUUUCAGGACAAGAUUUUUGCUCGAAGGCCAAGUAAUGUACAGCUCAAAAUCCUUGUGGCCUACGUACAACUCUUUAACUUGUGACUGCAUAAUUCAGUUCUCACUUUUCAAAUGAUGCCCUUUUCUAAUUUAGCUUUUGAUAGUAUAACUUCCUUCACAAGUCUAUUAAAAUUCAAGUAUGAUGAACCAUCAAGGCCAGUUGCUUCUUCUGCCUUCAGCUUCCAGUCCGUAGCUUUUCUCUCCAUCUCUCUUCCUUUAUCUCCUUCGAUCAAUUCUCUCACGAUUUUUUCCACUUCAUUUCUUUUCACAUUUGUAUCAAUCUCCAUCCCGAUGCCCCAUUCUUGACAUGCAUACCUACAAUUGAUAAGUUGAUCAGCAAAAAAUGGCCAACAAAUCACGGGCACACCACAGCACAAGCUUUCCAAAAUUGAGUUCCAUCCACUAUGUGCAAGAAUCCUCCGGUUGAGGAAUGUUUGAGCACUUGCUCUUGAGCGCACCACCCUGUAAUCAUACCUCUUUCUUUAGUUUCUUCAACAAAUUCAGGUGACAAAAUUGCAGAAUCGCCCACAACAAGGUCGGGUCUUAAUAUCCACAGGAAACUUUUGUUACUGUUAGCUAGUCCCCAAGCAAACUCCACCAGUUGUUCUGGCGUCAGCGCAGCUAUGCUGCCAAAGUUUACAUAGAGCACUGAAUUUGCUUCCUUUGUGUUCAACCAUUGAAUGCACUCUGCGUCUUCUUUCCAUAAGUUGGAUCCAAUAGAUUGAUGACUAUCUUGUGGAAGCUGAUUGAACAAAAGCUGAAGAGGGCCAAUGGCGUAUAUUGGAGGACACAUGCUCGAAAGAGAAUUUAGAACAUCGAACUCAAGGGAGUCAAAUGUAUUGAUCAUCAAUGCCGAUGCUUGGGAAGCUCUCGCAGAUUCAGUUAUGGCGAAGUUUAGCAUUAUGUUGUCUGGAUCUGUUGUUCGAAUAAAGCUGGGGAAGUCUCUUAGACGUAUCUCAGGCAUUCCUGGAAGCCAAUCCAUUUUGGUGUCUAAAUAUCCGUUUGUCAGAUAAAUUGCAUCUGUUGUUACAAAAAGGUCGCACAAGUAUUGGCAUCAUUCAUCUGAGCGAUCACUUCCAAGAAAUGUAAUUAAGCGCACAACUAUUCUGCUCCAAGCAUCUCAAGGGAAAAUGCUCUAUAGCACUAAAAUUUGAUGCAUUUGAAGUACCCUUUGAAAGUUAAAAAGAGUACCUCUUAAGUCUGGAUACAGUACCUUUACUUUAUAUGACAAUAGCAAAGCACCAACCGUAUUUAGGACUUUCCAGUAGUCAUGCAGUAGAACCACAUUGCAUUAUAAUGUUUUAGAUUCCCCAUUUUAACUGACAUCUAUUAAAUUGGAAAAGAACUCGUAUCCAAAGUUUUAUGAUAUCCGUCUGUUGCUUGUCUCAUGAUAAUGACAUGUGAUUAAAUCUUGAAAUUAAUUGUUGUCAAAUUUAAUCUCUGUCAAAGGAAACAGUUGAUUAAUGAAAACACAAAGACCACUGUUUUUUUUUUUUUUUAAAUAAACAAGUACCAAGAAACAGCUAAAAUUUUCUCAUUUAUCAGCAAUCUUAGACACCUCAAAGAAUCUACAAUCUAGUUAUGCGAGUAAAUCAAAUUGAACCAUUAAAAUACCUUUAAGAGGCACGAGUCCCCUUUUCACGAGAUGUUCAACAUGUUUAUAGCACAUCAAGCUGCAGGCAUUAGCAGUCCGAAAAAGAACACCAGGGACCCCAAUUUCCUCAGCAGCUUCAAGAGCAAAGGACAUGAUUGCGUCAGAAAUUAUACAUGUUACAGGAGGAACAUUCAAAGAUUCUGGUGCAUCAUUGAGUCUCUUUAUUAGUUCCCGAAGAGGGCCAAAGCAAUGGUUUCGAGUCGAAUCACAUAGUGAUGGAAUGUCUUGUGUUGCAUUAUUAUCAUCAGUUGAAGUUGAGAGGCCAUCUGGGAUAGCUUUGAACUGAAAAUCUGAAAAGCCAUCAAGAGACUUGGGACCUCUGGCUUUGAGCAAACGCCUGUGAUUGUAUUCUGUGUUGACAAAAGUGAUGUGAAAGCCUCUGUGGUAAAGAAGUAUGGCUAGUUUCAGCAAAGGACUUAUGUGACCCUGCGCUGGAAAUGGUAAGCAUACUGCAUGUGGCUUUUGAAAGUCAUGAAUAUUUAUUAAAGAAUCCAUCUCUUAUUUGUUCCUUCUUUUGCACUUCUUUAGCUCCACAGAUUUAUAGAACAUCAUGCACAGACCAAGUCUCUGAAGGAGAAAUCUCUGUGUUAUUUCAUUUUAUCCCCUUAGAGUAAGCAAAAAUCUCAAUUGCCCAUUUGGAUUUCUAUUUUCUAGAGUUUUUGUAGAAAAAUAUAUUAUAGUGAUUUGAUGUAUGUGAUGUAAAAAAGGUGAUUGAAAAAUGUGUUCACGAAAAAAUAUAAAAAUUUUUUAGGAAAAAAUGCCAAUACAAAAGGAAUCCAAAUUUUUUUUUAGUCAUAGAAAAUGGUUCUAUGAUAUUUUUAUAACAUUGUGCAAAUAUAUAUUGACAUGUACCGAUAGUUAUUAUAAUUUUCAUUAUACCUUUGGGCAUGGGUAGUAUAAUUGUAGUUUUCAUAUGACAAAUGCCCUUAAAAAAAGAUAUAUGCAUCAAAUUUUGAUUUUAAAUUCAUUGCGCUUGGUGACCGCUAACACGUUGGACUUUGAAUUAUUUAAAAAAAACACAGACAAAAGAAACCUUCCAUGUCCACACCCAAAAGCAAAAUAAAAUUCUAACAAAAAGAAAAAAAAAAAAGAAGAAGAAGAAGAAGAAUCAGACCAUGAGACUCCUCCAUCUAUUCUUCAGUCCUUCAGUACAUACAAGGACAAGUGACAACUGACAACCAUUGUAUGUCAUUGGCAGGAUUUGAAUUAUUGACGACAAGUGUGGGCCUUUGAAUUAUUGAAGUUUCCGUGGUCCGAUGAUUGAACUUACUCGCGGAACGUCAAAAAUUACUCAGUGAUGGUGCACGAGGUUGUCACGAGCUGUUGGAUUGUCGAUAGGACUUGAGCAGUAGGAGCGUCAAUACGGUCGGGCAGCUUGAGCUUGGUCCGCUCGACUCGAUAAAAAGUCUAAUGAACUUAACCUUUCAUUGAAUUGGGUUUAAGUAUAAAAUUCGAUUUAUAUAUGAGUUUAGUUUAGAUUUUAUUAGACUCAAAUUCAAUAUAAGUCCUAACAGUUAAUCUGUAUCUAUAUGCAUACAUACAUACAUAUAUAUAAUACAUUUAUACUUUGGUAUUUAUAAUUAUGUAUCCAAAUAACUACAUUGCAGCACUGUUGUCACAGAUGGGGCUUUUGAUGCUCAGUUGGUGAGUGGUGGUAUGGAUUUUGUGGUUUUAAAUUCUCCUGGUCGGGUAAUGCACAAAAUCUCCAAGAAGCUAUUUGUAAUUUGCAGAAUCUGCAGUUCAAGCGGAAGCAUUAGCUUGUCUGGAAGAGCAUUAGUGUCGGCAAUGAGGCUUUAGUCCUGUUUGAUCACCAAUUUAACACUUAAAUUUAAUAGGUUUAGAUCUUAACAUAUUUAGACUGUUUGAUAAUCAAAAAUUGAACAUUUGAAUUAAUUAACUGACACUGAAUUUUCUAAACAAAACUUGCUCCUAAAAUUAAGUAAGCUAUUCACUUAUCACUGAAUGUGAUAUACACUCAAAUGUAUUAGAUUUACUAUUUAACAAUUCAAUAAUUUAAUGGAUUCAAAUUUCAUAUUUCAGAUUUUAGAUUUCAAUUUUAUCAAACGGACCUUUAUUGUACCUCUCUACCAGUCAAAACUGAUUGUAUGUUAUUGUUUAUCCUAUCUUUGCACGUUAUCUGGCUCACCCCAAUGUUAGGAAUGUCAUUAAUGAUGUUAUAACUAUGUCGUCUUUCUAUUCUAAGUUGUAUUAGGUAGGGCUGCAAACGAACCGAACCGAACCGCUCGCGAGUGGCUCGAGUCAAGCUCGACUCGAGUUGGAUCAAUAUCGAGCUCGAGCUGGCUCAAGUCGAAAUUGAGCUCGAACUCGAGCUCAAAAUAUUAAGCUCGGCUCGGGCAUAUAUAUAUAUUUUUUUAUUUUUAUUUUUAAAGUAUAUAUACAUAUUUUUUUAUUUUAAGCAUAUAUUUUUUUUAUAUUUUUAUUUUAAUAGUAAAAUUACAUAUAUAUCCUUAAUAUUUUAUUAUUUAUUAAGAAAAAAUUAUUAUUUUAUUUAUUUUUUAAAAAAUAAAAUAAUUAUUUUUAUUUUUUUCGAGCUUGAGCUCGAGUUUUAAAUUGUCAGCUCGUCGAGCUCGAGCUCGAGUUCGAGUUCAAUAAAAUUAAGUCAAGAUUCGACUCGAUUAGGCCAAAACUCAACUCGGUUCGACUCGUUUGCAGCCCUAGUAUUAGAUAAAGUUGGCAAGGAUCAAGUCCUUCUUGCCCAUGAGUUAGCGGUCGCUAUAAUGUUACUGCUACCUCUCAUUAAUAUUAAUUUUCUGUUUGUGUUUUUCACAAAAAAGUUUUAAUGUUGUAGUUCUAUGGAUAUUAAAUUAGCUUGGGAACUGAAUAACUAAAGUAAUUAUAUUAAGAAAAUUAAUGAACAAUAAGUGAGUUUUAGUUAAACCCAAAUUUGGCUCAUAACCCAAAUAUUUUGUGAUUCAAGUAUUAGUUUCACGUUUAUCAACUUGAAACUUAUAAUCCGAGAUCCGCAAAUGAUACUAACUAUAUGAGUCGAGUUUGGACUUGUUAAAACCCGACUUACAUGGCCUAAUUGACAGUGUAGCACGAGGUAUCAUGUUCAAUUUUUUUAAGUUUUCUUUUUCAUUCUACAUUCAUCCCCUGUCCUUCAUGCCUUAAAUUAUGGUAAGAGGUCAUACAACUUUCUUUUAAAAAUGAAGUGGGAAAGAAAAAUUUUAAGCUCUCUGUAUCUCUCUCUCUCAAGGUUGAUUUCAAAUCUUUUAAAGGAAAAUAAAAAAAUCGGAGGCCAACCAGUCAAAUCAAAGAUCUUACUAUCACUUAACAAUUUUUUUUUUUUAAAGAUGAGAAUUAAGCACCCUUAUGUGUUUACUGGAUUCGGAAUCAUCAUAUUCACAGACUUCUUUUCAUUUUUAUUAUCUAUUAAAUUUCAAAGAGUUAUUGCAAAUAUACCAUUUUUUUUUUUGUUUUUAACUGGUGAUCAUAGACGAUUACAACUGAGUUCUACAAGCACAUCCCAUAACAUAAAAUGAAACAGCUACUAUAUCGAGAGAGAGAGAGAGAGAGAGAGAAGUUAAGCAUCAAAGAUGCAAAAUUGGAAUCAGCCCAAAUUUACUUGAUCAGGGCAGAAGUCGAUCCCACAAGAUAAGUUGAAGCUCAAGCCAUGAGAAUAGGAAACGUGCAUGCAUUAUCUUGGUUGCUGCAUACUUGCAAGUAACCUUUAUCUAAAAUCUGGAUAAUUAGGUACAGGCCAACAUGCAUGCAUUUUCUUGAUUACUGCAUAUUUGCAAGUUACCUUUAACUAAAAUCUGGAAAUUAGGCAUUGUUGGGUUGGAGUGAUGAAAUGAGCUAAGGCUUUUGGGCACGAGAUUCCCCUCUUAGGUGAUUUACCAGCAAUUUGAAGUUGUUGUAAGAUGUCCCACCAGGCUUUGUAGCCCUAUCUGCUUUAUCCUUCCAUUCCAUGAUCUUUUCCUUCAUUUCCUUUCCUUUGCUUCCCUCCAUUAACUCCCUUACUAGCCCUUCUACUUCUUCAUCUCUUUUAACAUUAUUAUCAAUCUCCAUUCCAAUUUCCCAUUUGGUACAAAUGUAAAGACAAUUUGUUGGUUGUUCACCAAAAAAAGGCCAACAAACCAUUGGCACGCCUUCACAAAUGCUUUCCAAUGUUGAAUUCCACCCACAGUGUGUCAAGAAUCCUCCAAUCGAAGGAUGGCCGAGAAUUUUCUCUUGUGGGCACCAAUCAAGCAGCAGUCCUCUGUCCUUGAUUUCAUCCAAGAAAUCAUGAGAUAUGACCUGUGUCCCACCAUUUACAAGAUUAGGCCUAAUCACCCACAAGAAUGGAUGUUUACUAUUGGCUAAUCCCCAACCAAACUCCCUCAACUGACCUGGAGUCAAAAUUACCAAACUCCCAUAGUUCACAUACACAACUGAUCCAGGUUUCUUCUUGUCAAGCCAAUCUAUGCAUCCCAUGUCCUGUUUCCACAAGAUGGAAUCGAGGGAAUCCAAAUUCCCUCCGCGGAGUUGUUGUUCAAGCAUUGAUAGGGUCCAAUCGUGUACAAAGUUGGAAACUUUAUUCUUAUAGCAUCUAAAACUUCUUUUUCCAAAUCUUCAAAUGAGUUGAGAAUUAAGCUGCUUGUCCUCAGAGCAUUUUGUAGUGACUUUAGGUUGUAAUUGAACAUUAUGUCUCCAGGAUUCGUGGAUUGGACGAACGAGGGAAGGUCUUUUAGUCGAAUCCCUUUCAUUGCCGGUAUCCAAUCAAGCUCAGUAUCAAGAUAUCCAUUAGAAAAGCAGCUUUCAUCUGGAAAAGAGGUUGUUUGCAUCAUGUAGAUACUCUUAUAAAUUAUUAUCAGAAUAGUCACAGAAAAAAAGACCCAAAUAUGCAUCAUGAUACCUGUCAGGGGAAAGUAGCCUCUUUCUCUGAGCUCUUCGUACUGAAGAUAGCCUAACAUCCCGCAAGCACUGGGCGUAAAGAACAGGAUUUCGGGGAUUCGGAAUUCUCGAGCUACUUCCAAAGUGAAGCUCAUGACACCAUCAGAAACUAUGCAAGAAACAGGUGGAACAUCAGGGGAAGAGUUCAGUUCCGAUAUGAGUUGCUUGAAUGAUUGUUUGCAGUGCACAGGCAUGGCUACGCACAGGUCAGGAAGAUCCAAUAUACCUCGCUGGUUGGACGCUGGCAAGCCAUCAGCAACGGUCCGGAAUUGAAAAUCGUCAUGUAUUAUGUCUAGUGGAUCUGAAUCCUUGGACUUGAGCAAUCUGUUAUAGUUGAAUUCUGUGUGGACGAAAGUGAUGUGAAAUCCGGUAUAAUGAAGAAGCUUGGCAAGUUUUAGCAUGGGAUUAAUGUGGCCUUGGGCUGGGAGUGGGAUACAAACUACAUGAGGUUUCCUGCUGGACUCCAUUCCGAUUUCUCGAUUGGGUUACUUGUAACUGUUAAAGAGUGGAAAAGAUAAGACACCGCUGUGAAGAUGCAAGGCGGAGGGUGGAGCUUUGGGCUUGAAGAUGCACUCCAGAACAUGGUUCAAAGACUCGGGCCGAGUCGUCACCAGAACGAAGCUCUCCAAUAUGAUACCGAAACAAAAUGACUCUAAGAUAAUGGAUCACCGAGAACUCAACUAAGACAGCUUCGAAGCAGAUAGAAACUGCCGAAUCGUCCGAAUCAUCCCUAGUCGAUUUGAACUUUUAUUAUUUUUGCUAAUUUUUUUUAAUUAUUUUUGUUUAUCAUAUUUUUUAUAUAAUUCAUAAUUUUUAAAAUAUUAAAUAUUUUAAAAUUUACGUCUUGUCGAAACCACAAUCAAUAUACCGAAAUCGAUGUCAAACGAUCCACGAAUGGGACCGCAACUUUGAACCGUGCUCCAAAAUAAUCAAAUCAGACCCGUGACUAAUAAUUCUUGUCUUUUUUUUUGGUCUGCUGACUCUGCUCCCAAAUUGCCUCUCCCCUUAAACCAAUAUAAUGACUGGUGGUAAUUAAUUUCAAACGUUGAACUUUUGUCUUUAAUUGGCUGGGGUACCACUUCUACAUUUGACUUCAUCUGAAGAUAAGGCAGUGGCGUGAAGCGUGAACCUAGGCAGAGUCUUUUGGAAUUGAGAAGACGCAUCUUAAGAACAGAGAAAUGAAGUCUAAAAAAUAGGCAAUAAUUUUGGUCAGUCUUCCGUUUUAAUGUCGUAGGAGUGGCAUUUUGCCCAAAAUGGUCCUUUAACUAUUAAAGAGUCUGUCACCUAAAUAUUGUCCAUUUGAAUUAGCUGUUUUUUAAGGUAUUUUUGAAAAAUUUUACCGUAACAGUGUAUAUGAAAAAUUUUAUAAAAAUUUUGAUAUAUUGUAUGAAUGAGAUGUUUUUUGAGUUAUUGUAUAUUAUCAAUUCAAACAGAUGCUGGCGCAGCAGCCAUACCCGCCCUCAUAUAUAUUUAUAUUUUUUGUUCUUUUUUCCGUUCUUUGGGAUGCGAAACGCCACCUUCGUUGAGCUUGGAUUGUUAUCUAUUUUGGUGAUAUAAUCUCCAAAAUAGAUAAGUACAAACUAUUUAUUGGACAAUUACGUUCUCUCUCUCUCCACAAGUGUUAGUAGGAUAAAAUCAAGCAAAAAGGGAGGGAAAAAAACUCUCAAGGAAAAAAAAAAAAAAGAGGAGAUCAGGGACGUAGGUGUUGAACCUUGGCACGAGGUGGCGGAGAUGCUCCCGGUAUUGCCACAUUGCAUUGGCUCCAAAGCCAUGCAGCAGCAGAAGAUUAGGUUUCGAUGGUUCGGCCGUUUUUGGCACCCAACAAUGCAUGACGGUACCAUCCCCAAAAUCUGUUGUGACAGAUUUGAGGCCAGCGUAGGCGAAAAAGUACCUAUGAAGCCAAUCUGCUGAUGCUGUGAAGCUAAUGCCUCCUGCCAUUUAUGUCAAACCUCAGAGGUUUUAAGCUCUUCCAAGAGUGGUCGAAACUUAAAAAAGUUUAUUUUUCUUUUGGGUAUUCUUCUCCUAGAAAUUUUGUAGAUUUCCUCUGUCAAGACAAACAAAGAAAUUGUAGCUAAGAGAACGAGAGAAUGGCUAUAAUUUAGCUCGUGGAACACCUCCGAUCCUCGGCCCCACGACGGAUUAUUAGUCUGUCGACGCCGUUAAAAUCACGUGCGUUUUCAACUUCUAUAUUUCCCAAAUCCCCUAAAACUCCAAUCCAACUUUAUAUUUUCCAAUUCUCCUAAAAAUCCAAUCGGGCUUUGGCUUGUAUUCCUCGUUAAGAAAAGCAAAAACAGAUAUUUGAUGUAAUUAAUUAUUAGAAAUAACUAAAUUAGCAUACUGUGUCUUUUCCAAUUCCAUAGAGCGAAUAGAAGGAGAAAACCCCCUCUUUUUUUUUUAAUCUUCAAUAUUUGUUUAUGAAGACUAGGUUUAAAUCUUGUUUACGGCUUGGAUGGCAGUUGUAGUUGUGUCCAAAUUUUGGAGUUUAUUGCUAAAAUAACUCUUCUUCUAAAAUAUAUAUCCAAAGUAACCUAAUUUUAAAAAUUAUUACCUUUAUAAUUCUCUUUUUGCCACAAAGGUUGCAUAUGUGGCAGGAUGGAAAUAGAGACAUAUUCUAUCUUUCUUUUUUAUCUGAUAUCCCCCCGGAUUCUCUCUCUGAACUUUUUCCUUUAGUUAUUUUUUUCUUGUCAAAAGUAAUUUUGAGAAGCCAAUAUUUAUAUUAACAGAAUCUAAAACUUCACUAUCAUUCCUGAUAUUGUAUUCGUGGAUGAAAAUAUUCUUCUUGAAUUGAUGAUCUUAAGGUAAAUGAAGAUUAUUCUCUUGUCUUUUCUAUUGUAUAGUUUUUGGAACAUUCCUAUAGCCUUCAAAAAAAUUUUGAAUACUAAUUGUGUAACAAAUGAUUUCCCAUACCAUGUGUUUGUUAAAAUGUCCAAGAGGAAAACUACAUAACAACAUAGAUUCAUACUCAAUAUGUUUGAUUUCCACCAUAUACACGAGCAUGUUCAUUUGUAGUGCUUCUCUAUCACAUGAUCAAAUAAUCUCAUAUACUUAAUGUAUUUUUGCACAUUUAUUCAACAUCAAUCAAUGGUUUGUGCUACUUCUGAGCAACUUGAGCAUUAUCUUAAUUGCAUUAGUAGAUUUCUUUUGCAUUACAUGAAAUUUAUUAGUCUCAAUUUCGAUUUAAUCUACUAGUGGUUCUUGUAUCUAAUGGUAUUCUAAAUAACAUGUAAAUGAUAACCUUGCUAAUUAUUGACAAACACUGGUAGUUCUUGUCUUAGAUAGCAUGACAAUAUUUGCUUAAUUAAUGAUUUUUUUAAUUUUGUGUAGGUGGUGCUGCUGAAUUUUGUAGCAAUGGCUGGUAAAAAUGUUACUAUAUUUUUUUAUUGUAAUGGUAGGAUGACAACAGGCAUACAUGGUCUUAGUUACGAGGGUGUUACUCCAAAAGCCAUUCGAGUAAGUUAUCAGAUAAAAUACCAUGAAAUCAUGGACAAGAUAUAUGUUAUCAAUGGCUAUGAAAAACAUCAAGUUGCGAUAAAAAACUUCUAACUUGUGAUACCUCUUUGUUUUCCUCAUUCCCUAUAUGUGAUUUGCAAUGAUCAAAUAGAACUUACCCAUUUUGGAGAUAGGAUUAGUGAAGUGCUCGAAUUUAGCAUUAUUGAAGUGCCUGAACAUAGAAUGAGUGGAUUGCGUAAUGACAUUUUUGUAUUCAUUUCCCCUUUGCUAACACUUAAGGAAGUUUCAAGAGUGUGGGUUCAAAUAUUUCAAAAUUGCUUGCAAUUGGCAAUGAUUAUGAGACACAUUUAUUGAUUGCAAAUUUAUUGUAAUUAUAUUAUGAAAGUUUAUUUACUUCAGAAUAUCUUGUUUUUUUAGUUCGUUGCAUAAGAUAUGGAUGUGGAGAACUUUAUUACAUUAUUAAAAUUUAAUUAAAAAAUCUUAUUUUUGUCUUUUUUUCCCUUAUAACAUGACUUUUUCCAGUAGUAGGAUGCCAUUUGCCUUUUAUAAUACUUGAUUACUUAUAUAAUAAUCAAAUUGAAAACUUGAAAAUUUCAAUUUGAUAACUUUUUGUAAAAGUUCUUUUCAAGAAGUAGGAAGCAUAACAUAAACAAAUAUGAUAACCUUGAAGUUUUUGUAACUUUUUCUUGUUAUUACUUACGAUUUUCAUUGCAAUUUUUGUAUUUUGCAAAUUUAUUUUUGAAAAAUAUAUGAAAUAAGUUGAUACAUUUUUUUAAAAGUGUAGAGACCACUAAUAGUAAGGUCAAAUAACGGUAGAAUUUAUUUUAAAUAAUUAUAAGGAAAUUAUCAAAGUUACGCAAUUUUCUUGUGCCUUUAUAAUAAAAAAGUUUAAAUUUUUAGUUCAUGUUGGAAACUAUAGACUAGAUUAAAGUUUUCCUUUCUUGUUAUGCUACAUGGAAAUCAGGGUAAUUAGGUGACAACAAUAACAUCAUUAUGGGAAUAAAAUUUGAAAGUGAAUCACAUUGAGAAUAUUUUUUAGAAAGAGUGUUAUUUUGGCAAAAACUCCCAAAUUUUGCAGGAAAGAUAGAAUUUGUAUUGAAUCACAAUUGCAAUUCAUGAUUUAACACGUUGACCAAACUAAUUAUUUUUAUUUGAAGUUUGGAGAAUUGUUAAUUUUAUUUAGAGUAUGGUCCAAAAUUUCCUUUUCUACCUUGUAUAUAAAAAGAAAGAGAAGUUACUGUAGGCUGUAGCAACCUCUUUUUUUUGCCAAGUGUAUAGUCUCUUAUUUUGACAAGUGUCAAUUUCUAUUUGUAGUUGAAUUUUUACUCCACUAUUUUUUUUGGUUAAUCAAAAGUCAUAAAUAUCUCUCCUCCCAAUUCUUUUUUUUUCCUCUUUCUGCCUCUGCUUUUAACUUUCAUUUCCCUCUUUUUUCGUCAUUUUUCUUUUUUCCCCCUUCAAAUUUUUUCUUUAUAAUUAAUUAUACUAAGAUUAUUUUCUUACUAUUUUUUUAGAUGAUUAUUGUUGACCAUGGAGAGGUGUCGCAACAAUCAACUAAUUUAUACUAUCAGUUCCUAUUCCAUCAAUUUUAACUCUUUAAUCCAGUAUUUUGGCUUUUCUUUUCUUUUUUUUUCUUCAUCCUAAUUUUUCUCUGCCAUUUCUCGUUCCGCUCAAUCAAUGCAUUUUUUUCCUUUUUGCUCUAUAAUUAAUUGAAUGUAUAUUUUUCUUGUAGGGGAAUGGAUAUUUCUUUUAUUGCAUUGUUCAAAAAUCAUGAUUCAUGAAUCAUAAUCAUCUUUUUUUUAGGAGAAACCUAGACAAUAGACCUUUUACCUCCACUACUCCUACUGUUUGGUAUAUUCCAUUUUCUUUUUAUUCCUAUUCUUCCCUCAUUUCAUGCUGCCAAAUAUGGACUUAACCUUUUUUUUAUUAACUGUAUUAUUAACUUUUUUUAUUAACUGUAUUUUAUUUAGCCUUUAUCAUUUUUCUUUUUUUUUUUUGCCUCUUUAUUCUGUGACCUUGGUGUAUUUAUUUAUUUUGGCUUGAUCUACUUGAUAUUCAUUAAGCCUUCCAUUAUUUUGGUUCUGCAAAUCGAUUUUCCUUUUGUACGGGUUGUCUUAAAUCUAAAUGCAAAAUUUAUUUUUUGCAAUUUUGAUGUUUUAGUUCCUUUUUAAUGCAUAAUUGAAUCUUACACUUCCUUUACUAAUUCUUUGGUACUGAAUUUUUGUACCCUUUUUAUGCAUUGAAAAGCCUUCCAUUUAACUUUCUUGCAAGUUUUAUUGUGAAUUUAUAGGACACAAGUUUUUACAUGAUUGUGUCUUGUUUGAAAAAGAAAUAGUGGUGAAAUUUUAUACAUUUGUAAUUAUAAUAGCAUGACACUUGAGUUUUAUGAAGCAUAUAUCAUUUAUGUUAAUAUUGAAUUGGUUUUGCAUUUCUCCUGUGUUUGGUUUUUGAAUUCUUUGUUGUUGUUUGUCCAUACAAUACCCUAUUGCAUCACAAUAAGCAAGUUGGAGCAAACUUUUGGAACAUUCCACUAAAGCUAAGCUUUUUUAGGCUCAUUUUUUGACAAUUAUAAUUUCUAUUUAUUUGAAAGCAAAUUAUAGUGUAAUGAAUUUUAGCCAUAAUUUUAUAGAUGGGCCUACACUGUGCUUGCACAGUCUGGUUCCUUGAGUGUCAGAAUAUGUGUUGCUACGUGCAAGCAACGUGCAAGCAUUAGAGUGAUGGGGCCUAGCAGAGGCUUAGUGAUUGGAGCAGGAGAUGACCAUUAAAAUCGGACCCUCAAAUAUGUGUUGUACAUUAAAAGUGGUACAAAAUGCGGACCCUCAAAUGUGUGUUGCACAAUAAUAGUAGCACAAAAUGACGGAGAUUGGAGAGGACAUUGAGAAUUGUUAAGAGUAAGUUGAUUCUUGAAGAGAGCUAAAUAUAUGCAUGGAAUAUUUGAAGUCACAAACAGAAUAUUAUCAUCGUCAUAUUAUGCAAGGUGUAUUAUUACUACAACAUAUUAGGAACCCAGAUUUUUUUCCCCAACGAUAUUGCAAAGAAAAGGACAUUGAGAAUUGUUAAGAGUAAGUUGAUUCUUGAAGAGAGCUAAAUAUAUGCAUGGAAUAUUUGAAGUCACAAACAGAAUAUUAUCAUCGUCAUAUUAUGCAAGGUGUAUUAUUACUACAACAUAUUGGGAACCCAGAUUUUUUCCCCAACGAUAUUGCAAAGAAAAGGACCCUCAAAUAUGUGUUGCACAAUAACAGUAGUACAAAAUGGUGGGAUUGGAGCAGGCUCGCCGUGUUUGAUUAUUUGGCAAGGGCAUUUCUUGAGAACCACAUCCCGUGGCAUGCUAGGGAUUCAGGGAAGGAGAGAAAAGAAAACAAAAAUUUUUUUAACCCAAAAAGAAAAAAGAAAGAAAACGAAAGAAGCGAAAAUAAGCAUCUCCGGUACCUAAAUAAAUUGCCCAGGUAAGAGAGAAGGUGAAAAUCUUUUCAGAUGAUCUUCUCCUUUUUAAGAUUAGGACUCACCCCUCCAAACUUUUAUAUAUAUAUAUAUAUAUAUAUAUAUAUAUUCAGAGUAAGAAAUUGAUAUGUGCCCAAGAAAAUAGAAGUAAACGAGUAUCUAUGAUUCAGGCCUUGUUCUCGUUGGUUUUAGAUUUUAUAAAUUUUGAUUAUGAAAAGUGAUUAAUAAUCAGAAUCUGCAAUAACGAUGGAUUAUAAAUUUUAGCCUUUUAAGUUUUGAAAAAUCUAUAAUUUGAAUACAAAAGUAAGUGAAAACAUCAUAAAAAUUGAUUCUCAAAAAUCAAAAUCUAUAAUCAGUUUAAAUAAUGAAUUGAGAACAAACCUUUAAGCUCGAGACUGCAGUAAUUUAUGGAGACAGUGGCCACAAUAAAGCUCAAGGUUCCUUUAAUAUCUCGUGUUUUCGGAUGGUUAGAACUACAAACAGUUGGAUUUCUUUAACUUUGUUAUAGUAAUCGUUUUACUGGAUCGAGAUUUUAAUAUAUACUAGUUGUUUUUCGACAUUAACACCAUCCAUCAAAUAACUGAGAUUCAUUAUAUAUUUUGCUACCGUGUCUAUGUGUUUUUCUUUCUUGGUUAGAUAUGCUAGUCAUGUGUGUGCGUGGGUGUUUUUCCGUCAGUACACACAGCCAAACAUGACCUUUGAAAUCAGGUUAUAAUCUAACAUUCUUAAUGUAGUAUUAAUUAGUAAGUAAUGCCUAAAAUUAGGUGAAACUAACAGGCAUAUGGCUAUGCAUGUGAAUGUGUAGCCUUGCUUAUUAGUCACAUUGCUCCUCUAAGAUAAGCGAUUUGACAAUCUCUGUUCUUUUUUUGGCAAUUUCUGUUUGCUGGUGUGUACUUCAGAUUUAAUGUUCUAAUGAAAGAAAGAAAGACAACCAUAAAUUGGGUUUAUCAUUUUCUUCUAUUUGCUAGUCUUGAACGAGCAUUCAAGCAUAUUUCAAAAGAUUUUCAAACCAACGUAAAAUUGAAUUAAUCUUUUUUUAUAUAUUCAGUGAGUUUUUUUUUUCACAUUAGUAGGUUUGGAUGCAUGACACAUAAUUUUUAUUCAAAUUACAGAUUUUUCUUUUUUAUAUGUAGCAUGCACCCAAUCUUACUUGUGUAAAAGAGUUUCUAUGAAAUAAAAAAGACUAAAUUUAUAAAAUUUGCAAAAAAAAAAAUCAGGAAAAUUGAGAUGUUUGAUGCUGGCGAGGCACUAAAACCAACUUUUAUACCCGGAAAAGCCAACCCCAAAUGGAAAGCAAACGGGGGCAUUAGAAUCCAGUCAUUAAGAUCUGCAAUUGGGGGACAUACAAGACCUUUGAGCAUUUCCAUACUUGUGGUUGGGAAAAACUCUCAUGUUGUUUGUAUUAAAUUCAAAACUUGAGAUUGAAAUCCUAAAGAUGUAAGAGCGGAUCUUUUUGCUUUUCAUAUUCUGAACGAGUUGCAAAUAUGAAGCAACUUGUGAGGCCGUGAUCCGUACAUGCGCGUCUCUACAAUUCUAGUACUCAUUGAUUUAGACUUUUUGUUUGGAUUCAUGAUAUUCCAUUCCACGUUCAAAAAGUAAAGUGUUAUAAACCAAUACUUAAGAAGAACACUCCUCUUUACUUAUUAUUAUGUUUUAAACUUGAAGAGCACAUUUUUUUAUUUGGUUUUUUGUGGCAUGAAUAAUUGAUGAUCCAAUUAGUCAAGUUGCAAAGAGGGGUGGUGAGAAAUGAAAGUCUAAACGUCUAACGGGUGCUCAUUUCAUGUGUCAUAUUUUUAGAAAGGUAAGAUUAAUUAGAGAAAAUAAAUAAAUACAAUAGAGGGUAGGUAUGAUUAAAUAGGAAAAAUAUGUAAAUACAAAGGAGGACAAUAAUUGUUACUCUGAGCAUAUCCACGAUAAGGAAGGGUAAUAAUUAUUAGGUGAUUAAGUUCCACAUACUCCGUAUAGUUCACAACAAUCUUCACUGCAUUGGAUUUGUGAAAGACGAGGCAGUUGUUGAUUAGCUGCUCCAAAAGCGUCGAUGCCUGUAGUAAUUAAUCAAGGAAUGGGAGGAGGAGGAGGAGCAGGGGGCGGAAUCAGAAGAAUCAACAAGAAAUGUUUUGAGAUGUUUGUUAAAUUCCUUAGGCUUCUCCAAGUUGACGCCAUGUCCUGCAUGUUUAAUCACCUCAAUUCGAGCAUUUUCCCCAAUAUGCCUGCAUGCUCAUGGACAUGAUAUUUUUUCCUCAAUUCCCAAGUCACAUAACACAGAAUUAAUUUGUAAUUGUACAUAAAGGUUACUCCUCGAUCUCAUUAGACGGAAACAAACAGCUAGUUGAAAGGUUACCUUUUCAUUCUGUGACCCAAUUCCACGGGGAAGAUUUGAUCCUGCUCCCCCCAUAUGAUCAAUGUGGGCUGUUUCAAAUAUGAUACCAUUUUGAAUCAAGAAAGAAAUUAGUCCAUCCAUCUAGAAAGCGCGGGUGUCAGAUGGAUUCAGUCAUGAUAGCAAAAAAUUCCAACCUAUAGCACCAUUAUAUUUUAGGAAGACUCAAUCAAACCUGUGUGAUUCUGGGAAUCUUUGAGAGCUGUCGAUCUUUGAGUAUAUUUUUUAUGAGUUCCCUCUUCUCUUUUACGUGGUCUGUGCACAUUACCUGCCCAUGCAACAAACAAUAUCAUCGCCAAAUUGAAAAUUGAAGUGUUUAAAUGCUGCAAUGAAAUAAUUAAGCGGCAUGCAUCUAAACGAGCAUGACAAAUUUCAACCGGUUAUCGUAUUUUUGGAAGGGUAUAUAUAUAUAUUCCUAUCACUCAUUUUAACCUUUCAAUGUGCAUCCGGGCUUCAACUAGCUAUUUGUUUCCAUCUAAGAUCGAGGAAUAACCUUUAUGUACUACUACAAAUUAAUUCUGUGAAUAUGACAUGGGCAGAAUGUUGUGUACGUAGUAAUUAAGGUCAUGUAAAGAUGUUCCCCUUUUCUUCUUGGUUUGUUAAACAAGUAUAGUGCUUGGCUAGUUGUCCGGUCCCGGUGGGAAUGCAACACUGGUUUCUUGUCACAAGGGCUCAUUUAUUCUUUAGUUGCCGGUGGUAGUCGCAGAGUUAGGAAUUAGAGUCUCAAUGCCGUGCGCAUAAAUUUCCAAAUCCUUCGGCCCACUGGCCACCAGAUCGAGAACCUGAUAGGCAUUUUGGACAAAAUUAUGAUGGAACGAUUUCCAGAGUUUUUCUUUUCUUCUCUUUUUUAUUGGAGCAAGGGAAAUGCAUAAACCUUUGACAUGCACAGAGAGAAAGAACGAGGCUACGCUUACGUCAAUAAAAUCUGUAAGGAAGCACGAGGGGACUCUUUUGACAGGCUUGGCGAAUGAAAGAUUCAUCAGUUCCCUAAGUUUAUCCGGGGUCUGGGGCACCAAAACGUUAGCAGCCUCGUCUAAAUCCGGAACCGGGAACAGACCCUCCUCCAUAUCCUUCUCCUCCGAGCAAACACCAGUGCAACAUAGCACCAAUUUCUCUAUUGCCUCGGGAAACUGCACCGCCAUGCUGUACCCUACAAACCCACCAUAACUUAUGCCCACCAAGUUCAUCUUUUGUACCCCGUGCACCUCCAUCAGUUUCAUGACGCAUUGUGCCUGGAAUGCCUCCGUUCUCUCGGGACUCUUGGUCGAGGAUUCGCCAAAAAAGAGGAGAUCAGGGACGUAGAUGUUGAACCUUGGCACGAGGUGGCGGAGAUGCUCCCGGUAUUGCCACAUUGCAUUGGCUCCAAAGCCAUGCAGCAGCAGAAGAUUAGGUUUCGAUGGUUUGACCGUUUUUGGCACCCAACAAUGCAUGAUGGUCCCAUCCCCAAAAUCUGUCGUGACAGAUUUGAGGCCAGUGUAGGCGAAAAAGGACCUAUAAAACCAAUCUGUCGAUGCUGUGAAGCUAAUGCCUCCUGCCAUCUAUGUCAAAACACAAAGGUUUCAGGCUCUUCCAAAAAUGUUUUUGGGUGUCUCCUAGAAUUUUUGUGGAAUUCCUCUAUCAAGACAAACAAAGAAAUUGUAGCUUAAGUGGAUGAGAAUGGCUAUAAUUUAGCACGUGAAACACUUCGGAUCCUCGGCCUCACAACCAAGUCUCACGACUGGUUACUACUCUGCCACGCCGUUAUAAUCACGUGCGUUUUCAACUUCUAUAUUUCCCAAUCCCCCUAAAAGUCCAAUCCAGCUUUAUAUUCCCGAUUCUCCUAAAAGUCCAAUCCGGCAUUGGCUCGUAUUCCUCAAUUCAGAAAAGUCAAAACCGAUACUUGAUGUAAUUAAUUAUUAGAAAUAUGUAAAUUAACGUAAUGUGCCUUUUCCAAUUCCACAGAACCAAUAGAAGGAGAAAAUCCUCUCUCUCUCUCUCUCUCUCUCUCUCUCUCUCUCUCUCUCUCUCUCUCUCUCUCUCUCUCUCUCUCUCUCUCUUUUAAAUCUCCAAUAUUUGUUUAUGAAACAGUUGUAAUUGUGUCCAAAUUUUGCAGAAAAGAUAGAUUUUGUAUUGAAUCACAAUUGCAAUUCUUGAUUUAACACAUUGACCAAACUAAUUAUUUUUAGGAAAAAUGGUUCAAAAGGUUCUUUACAUUUUGCAGAAUGAUUUUUUUCAUCCAUCACUUUUAUAAGUGUAAUUUUACGUCACUUACAAAUUCAUAUUGAUCAAAUUUAGUCCCUACCUAGAGUUUCGACAAACUUUUGAUCGGAAUCCUCUAUGCGUUUUGCAUCGAUUAAUGUUACCAUUCUGACGUCCCUUGUUUUCCUUGAUAUCAUUGAUUAAUUGUUCAUUAUUGUUUACUAGUUGAAUGGAUGCCCCACGUUUGCCAUUCUAAUGUCCCUUGUUUUCCUUGAUAUCAUGGAUUAACUGUUCAUUAUUGUUUACUAGUUGAAUGGAGGCCUCACGUGUGACGUGAGGGUGGGCAGGUUUUAGAAACAAUGAAUAUAUUAAUAAGGGCAUUGGCUAAUGUUAUAUUCAGCAUUAGGGGAAGUGUUGGUGCAUCGCGCAGGUGUUUGAUGCCUGUGGUUAGAAAGAAUUUUUCAUUGGAUAAAUAAUAGUACAUUCUGAAAAAAAAAAAAUAGUCAUCAAAUAUGACAAAACUAAUAAUAGUACAUUCUAAUUGCAAUACGCACUUGUACACUUUGGUUUGUCAAUACUUUUACAAUUUACCAUUUCCAAAAAAUCCCUAUAGAUGUCAGUUGAAAAUCACCCAAGAACAAACAUAAGUUGUUUCAAACAAAGAAAUAUACUCCAACUGUUAAUGGCUAUGUAUGAAUUGCACAACAGUUUAAUAUGCCUUUGUGUUAAUUCCACAAUAAAUGCCACAUUUCAAUUAAAUGUGUCUAUAACACCAUUUCAAUAAUUAUACCAACACAUAAACUUAUAUGAGUUGUACUCGAUGCAAAAGCGGUUGCAAAAUAAUUCCAUAUUUCAUAAAUAUCCAAAUGUCUCCAUGAAUCAAAGUUUUAAAUGUACCAAAAUGAGAACAUUUUGAUAAAUACACCUAAACACAUGCUUCUCUCAAUUGUAUCAAAAGUUUUUUAAAAAAAACUACACAACAUUUCACAUUUUCAAAAAACUCCUAUUCAUGCAGAUGAAACUCAAACUCCCUUUGAUCACAACUGAUUCUUAUAUGGUAUAAGGAUAUUAAUGCUAAAAUUAGGGGUAGGUGAAGUAUUUUGUUAUGUAUUAUUAUACGUAUUGUAACAAAUGCAAUAUAUUAUUAUGUGAAGAAACCAAUAGAGCACAAUGAAUUGAAUAAUGCCAAAUUUGAUUUUAACUUUGAAAAAUUAGGCCUUUCAUAAAAUAUAUAUCUUCCUACACACGAGAAAGCGAUUAAUGAAGCAUUAAAGUCAAAUAAGGUAUUCUUUAGACUAAGGAGUUAAUCCAAUCAUGUCUAGACUGACGAGUUAAUCAUGGCGCUUAAUCCAUUUCCAAUGAUAGAAUAGAUCUUCCUACACCUAAGAAAGGUUUAACGAUGGAUUGAAGUCAAAUAAGGCAUACUUGAGAUCCAGGAAUCCAAUCAUGUCUAUUAUUCUGAUCAUAGCAUCUAUGACAUGAAUGCAGCAACUACUACUACAUUGAAGGGGAAAAUGAACCUCCCUUUCUUCCCAUACAAACUCCAGUAAUUACGAUGUUCCGUAAGUGUAAUUUUCAUUUUUCCAUUCAGUUAAAAAAAAAAAAGACAAACAAAAAUCAAUUUCGUUUUCAAGCCUAUGAAAUGCUCAAUUUGAUAACGGGCAAAGAGAGAAGCACCAUUAUUCAAGAUACAGUCCUAGGCGGAGAACGUAUUGACAAUAUUUUACAAACAUAGAAAAAUUCUUAUCCAUUUAUAUAGAAAAAAAAAGUCCCCAGAAUCAAACCCAAUUAAGAAUGCAAAACUAAUUCUACUUCAAACAGAACAUUAACCCAAAAAAGAAAAAUCAAAUCACAUCCCAUAACCAAGUGAAAUACCUCCAAAUAAUUAAGUUUCAAGGAGGAUGUAUCAAGAGACUGUAGAAGAGAUAAAGGAACAAUAAUGCCCACCAAAUCAAAUGAACUGAGUCCCAUCAAUUGAUCCAAGGGGAAAAGCCCUAAAUAUUAAAUCAAAACUUAGGAAAUCAAGUUGCUGGACAAGAGAAGGGGCGCAUAGAAAGAGGGGCUGUGGCUGGGAGAAAAUUUAAUUUGUAUCUUUGAUUUCAAAAUUGCGAUGUUUCUGGGUGAAAGAGAGGACUUGACUAGUAGAAAAAGGAAUACUAGAGUCUUGACAACUGAGGAGGAGGAAGAGGCGGAAGGGUGGAAUUUACAGGAAGCAUUAAUUAAGGAGUUUGGAGAAUUUGAUGAAUUUACAGGAAGCCCGUCUUAGACUCCUCCGUUAGUUCACAAGUCAGGGGUAAAAUAGGCACGAGGGUCAAACGACAAAAUCAAACAGCCAUAAGUGCCACCUCCUGCACAUAUCCACGCAAUCAGCACGUUACCAUUUCGAAUUGAAAUUCCAAGUUAACCCACCUACUGAACGUGUUAAUAGGAGACCAAAACCCUGUUCAUAAAACUUCGUUCACACUUUGAUUAAUUACCGUACGCGUUGACUUCUGGGCAAGAGGUGUCUCCAAGGGUGUCAGAUAAAUAAAAAUCUCAAAGUAGUGCAGCAGCUCUACUUGAGACUAACAGAGACCUCCUAAAAAAGGAGAAAGACAGAUCAGAGGUUUCUUGUGCACCGAUAUUGAGAAAUGACUUUGCAUUUGCACCACGAAGAUCCACUAUACAAAGUAAUCAUAUUCCAUCAACAAAGACAAAAAAUCUCUGUACAACAUUCCUCAUGCCAUCAUCUGGCAACUGCUUAACUUCUAUCGAUUUUGCUGAGAAACAAUUUGCCUACGAAAGUGUCGGAGCCUCACCAGCUAACUCGUCAUCCAACCAUUCCGCUGCGACUCCAUGAUGUAAAACAAUAGUUGCAAA
This 23524-nucleotide long non-coding RNA is filed under the name Coffea arabica (coffee). Its description in RNAcentral is "long non-coding RNA (CARA_LNC001661)". Lineage: Eukaryota; Viridiplantae; Streptophyta; Magnoliopsida; Gentianales; Rubiaceae. The record is from RNAcentral.